UCCCAAUCAGAGCAACCGCGGACACCCGCACAGCCCGGGCUGGAGCGGCAGGAUCAUGACAUCCAGUUUUUCCACAUCAAAUAUGGCAGGCACCUAUGUACAGUAAACUGUACACUCAUCACAAAAAUAGCAAGCAUUACCAAAAUGGAUCAAAGGAAUAGCUCCAGGACCAAAAGUAGUCAACAUUGCGCAAAGUGAAUUGCUGAGGACUGUAGACCACUUUUAGUGGUGGAAGAUAAAGAAGGCAGCGAUAUGAUUCAACUUUUCAACUGCCAUACAGAAACCAUUUAAAGCCAAUACCUGUCCUGUUCUGAAAAAAAGGAGCGCGACAUUUUGGGGACUCGUCCGGGAUAUGUGCAGCGUGGAUGUACUUCUUCCUGUUAAAGAAGUCACCGGCUGUCACAUGUCUCUUCUAAACUCUACCAUCAUCAGCAGCGUGGUGAACCAGAAACAGUGGUGUCCUGACUGUCAGUGAACAUGGAGAAAGCGAGCUGAGGUAUUUCUACAUACCAGGGGAGCUGCUCUCACAUUCUAAAGAUGCAAGUUUGGUGCCUGGAGACCGCAUCUGCAUUCUCUCCUUCUCCCCCUCUCCGUUCACAGCACCUCAAUUAUCUCAUUACCUCUGGUGUAUAUCAGCCUGCCUCUUUCCUGAGAUGCUCGCCAAAGUAUUGCAGAUCCUUCCAGUGGUACCUAGUGCUCCCCUGUGUUCCAGACCCAUGUCAUUUCUGCCACCAAGCCUGCCACCUGUUCAGUCCUCUGCCUGACAGCUAUCCACGUCACCACCUGUCAAUGUAUCCUGGAUACCUUUUCUUCAAUAAACUGUUAUCAUCUCAA
This is a long non-coding RNA of Syngnathoides biaculeatus (alligator pipefish), 834 nucleotides long. RefSeq lists it as uncharacterized. The record is from RefSeq and is a predicted model, not a curated record. NCBI's taxonomy places the organism in Eukaryota, Metazoa, Chordata, Actinopteri, Syngnathiformes, Syngnathidae. The transcript is spliced from 4 exons.